UACGGGAGGCAGCAGUGGGGAAUAUUGCACAAUGGGCGCAAGCCUGAUGCAGCCAUGCCGCGUGUAUGAAGAAGGCCUUCGGGUUGUAAAGUACUUUCAGCGGGGAGGAAGGGAGUAAAGUUAAUACCUUUGCUCAUUGACGUUACCCGCAGAAGAAGCACCGGCUAACUCCGUGCCAGCAGCCGCGGUAAUACGGAGGGUGCAAGCGUUAAUCGGAAUUACUGGGCGUAAAGCGCACGCAGGCGGUUUUGUUAAGUCAGAUGUGAAAUCCCCGGGCUCAACCUGGGAACUGCAUCUGAUACUGGCAAGCUUGAGUCUCGUAGAGGGGGUAGAAUUCCAGGUGUAGCGGUGAAAUGCGUAGAGAUCUGGAGGAAUACCGGUGGCGAAGGCGGCCCCUGGGACGAAGACUGACGCUCAGGUGCGAAAGCGUGGGGAGCAAACGAGGAUUAGAUACC
RNAcentral lists this ribosomal RNA (455 nucleotides) under uncultured bacterium. RNAcentral describes it as "bacterial SSU rRNA". It matches the Rfam family "Bacterial small subunit ribosomal RNA", at positions 340 to 786 of the family's 1533-position model. The record is from RNAcentral.